Molecule: ribosomal RNA, 522 nt
Filed under: Pelagibacterium halotolerans
Lineage: Bacteria; Pseudomonadati; Pseudomonadota; Alphaproteobacteria; Hyphomicrobiales; Devosiaceae
Description: bacterial SSU rRNA
Rfam family: Bacterial small subunit ribosomal RNA
Source: RNAcentral
UGUCAUGCGGCAGCUUACCAUGCAGUCGAACGAAGUCUUCGGACUUAGUGGCAGACGGGUGAGUAACGCGUGGGAAUCUACCCAGUUCUCUGGAAUAACUGAUGGAAACGUCAGCUAAUACCGGAUACGCCCUUUUGGGGAAAGAUUUAUCGGGAUUGGAUGAGCCCGCGUAAGAUUAGCUAGUUGGUGGGGUAAUGGCCUACCAAGGCGACGAUCUUUAGCUGGUCUGAGAGGAUGAUCAGCCACACUGGGACUGAGACACGGCCCAGACUCCUACGGGAGGCAGCAGUGGGGAAUAUUGGACAAUGGGGGCAACCCUGAUCCAGCCAUGCCGCGUGAGUGAUGAAGGCCUUAGGGUUGUAAAGCUCUUUCACCGGUGAAGAUAAUGACGGUAACCGGAGAAGAAGCCCCGGCUAACUUCGUGCCAGCAGCCGCGGUAAUACGAAGGGGGCUAGCGUUGUUCGGAAUUACUGGGCGUAAAGCGCACGUAGGCGGAUAUUUAAGUCAGGGGUGAAAUCCCGG